UACGUAGGGGGCAAGCGUUGUCCGGAAUCAUUGGGCGUAAAGCGCGUGUAGGCGGCUCGAUAAGUCCGCUCUGAAAGCCCGGGGCUCAACCCCGGGAGGCGGGCGGAAACUGUCGGGCUAGAGUCCGGAAGAGGCGAGUGGAAUUCCCGGUGUAGCGGUGAAAUGCGCAGAUAUCGGGAAGAACACCCGUGGCGAAGGCGGCUCUCUGGGACGGUACUGACGCUGAGACGCGAAAGCGUGGGGAGCGAACAGG
Molecule: ribosomal RNA, 253 nt
Filed under: uncultured bacterium
Lineage: Bacteria
Description: partial 16S ribosomal RNA
Rfam family: Bacterial small subunit ribosomal RNA
Source: RNAcentral